GAUAAACGCUGGCGGCGUGCCUAACACAUGCAAGUCGAACGCCCUUUUGCGCAAGUGAGAGGGAGUGGCGGACGGGUGAGUAACACGUGGGUACCUACCUUGAGGUGAGGAAUACCACCGAGAAAUCGGUGACAAGACCGCAUACGCUUGGCAACAAGCAAAGUCUCGCAAGAGACGCCACAAGAUGGGCCUGCGCCUGAUUAGCUAGUUGGUGAGGUAACAGCNCACCAAGGCGACGAUCAGUAGCUGGUCUGAGAGGAUGAUCAGCCACACU
This 274-nucleotide ribosomal RNA is filed under the name uncultured bacterium. RNAcentral describes it as "partial 16S ribosomal RNA". It matches the Rfam family "Bacterial small subunit ribosomal RNA", at positions 28 to 314 of the family's 1533-position model. The record is from RNAcentral.